AUUUAUAUAAUUUAAUAAAAAUAUUAAUUUUGUAAAUUGAAUAUACUUAAACUAAGUUAUAAAUA
RNAcentral lists this transfer RNA (65 nucleotides) under Coleoptera sp. 15 KM-2017. Its description in RNAcentral is "tRNA-Thr". The record is from RNAcentral. Lineage: Eukaryota; Metazoa; Arthropoda; Insecta; Coleoptera.